GACGAACGCUGGCGGCGUGCUUAACACAUGCAAGUCGAACGGAAAGGCCCUGCUGUUGUGGGGUGCUCGAGUGGCGAACGGGUGAGUAACACGUGAGUAACCUGCCCUUGACUUUGGGAUAACUUCAGGAAACUGGGGCUAAUACCGGAUAGGAGCUCCUGCUGCAUGGUGGGGGUUGGAAAGUUUCGGCGGUUGGGGAUGGACUCGCGGCUUAUCAGCUUGUUGGUGGGGUAGUGGCUUACCAAGGCUUUGACGGGUAGCCGGCCUGAGAGGGUGACCGGCCACAUUGGGACUGAGGUACGGCCCAGACUCCUACGGGAGGCAGCAGUGGGGAAUAUUGCACAAUGGGCGGAAGCCUGAUGCAGCAACGCCGCGUGCGGGAUGACGGCCUUCGGGUUGUAAACCGCUUUCGCCUGUGACGAAGCGUGAGUGACGGUAAUGGGUAAAGAAGCACCGGCUAACUACGUG
This 468-nucleotide ribosomal RNA is filed under the name uncultured bacterium. Its description in RNAcentral is "partial 16S ribosomal RNA". It matches the Rfam family "Bacterial small subunit ribosomal RNA", at positions 28 to 507 of the family's 1533-position model. The record is from RNAcentral.